AUUUAAAUAAUUUAAUAUAAAAUUUAAUAAUGAAAAUAUUAAUAUAGAAACAAUUCUUUUAAAUA
This 65-nucleotide transfer RNA is filed under the name Idris sp. MM-2013. RNAcentral describes it as "tRNA-Phe". Lineage: Eukaryota; Metazoa; Arthropoda; Insecta; Hymenoptera; Scelionidae. The record is from RNAcentral.